UAGGAUAUACAUGACAUAACUAGGGUCGGGACAAACCCCCGCCCACACGUGACUCAUGUACAAUAACAAAACAUAAGGAACCGACUCGGAAAGCUCCGAAGCAAACUGGAGCUCACCAACAAUAGCUGUAUGACCUGGCUCCUACUUGUGCGGUGUAUGAGCUGAGGUACCUGUGCCUGCAGCAUGAAAUGCAGGUCCCCCGUGAGGGACGUCAGUACGAAAUAUGUACUGAGUAUGUAAAGCUGUAAAUAAUCACAUAUGAUAUAGGAGCUCAAUAGAAAUCAGAAACAAGUGAAUAAGUCGUAAUAGGAGUGGACCACACUUACUAGAACUUGUGACAACCUGUACAUUGUAUUUAUUCAAUCACUUUACCUUCGUUCUUAUCGUCUUUGUAAUCAUUACUGUACUGUACUGUGACCAUUAGGCUGCCUCCAGUACAUAUCAACUGGGAUCGACCCAUGCUAGGCUUAUGCCCCUGGGAUACCACCCAUAAACACAUAAAUAGGGAUCGACCCAUGCUAGGCUUAUGCCCCUGGGAUACCACCCGAUAAGAGAGAACUCCCAUCACUUAGUUCAAUUAAUCUUUGAGAUUGUUAUUUCGGUCGCCACCACAUUUUUGAUACUUUGAAACAAUGAUACAUCAAUAGGAACCAAGUAAUAGACCUUCUAUACAAUAACGAUGUAAUAAAGACUCAUUGGUACAUCAACAAUGUGUUUCAGAAUCAUCAAUAUCACAACAAUGAAAUAAGAGCCUUUUGGUAUAUCAAUGAACAUUUUGACACUUUAUAGGAUGGAAACAACUUCGUUGGUAACGUAGAACAAUACAUGUUUUUGGACAACCUCGGAAUCUUACUUGAUGGAACAUUGGUGUUUUCAUGCCAAAGAACAUUGUUAGAGUAUGCUUUACAUACCUCGUUGUAGAUUCAGAUACCAAUUCAACACAACUUCCCGCCUUUACAAAUCACUUAUCUACAAUGAAAUGUUUGGCAUCUAGUAUUAGCAACCCAACACCACAAUUCUCUUCCAUAAUUCCAUACUACCAAUAUUUGCAAAACAUUCCAAAAACCAACUUGAACAAUAGGUUUAUGUGUGUAUAUAUAUAUAAUCAUCAUUUCAAUACCACAUCAUCAAUACCACAUCAUCACCCCAAAUUCCUUCACAAUUUAACAUAAUCCAACCAUGCACAAGAAUAAUCCAACAUCAUUUCCAAUCAUCUUUCAACAACAAUCAAGUAACAUACUUCUUAUGCUCACAUGCAUAUAUAUAUAUAUACAUAUCCAUAUAAAUAACACCAACAUAAUUUACAUCCUUACCAAAAAAUGGCCCUUUUGAUUUCGAAGUCCUGUUGGCACAAAUAAGGGGUGCUUCUCGAAGCCCUUGAGACGGUGAACACAACUACGGAAUCAAUUUGGAUUUUCUACGGUUGAAUCACAAGAUAAUUGGAGUUGAAAUUUGGCUAGGGUUUCUUAGUCUUCAA
This 1477-nucleotide long non-coding RNA is filed under the name Capsicum annuum. RNAcentral describes it as "long non-coding RNA (CANN_LNC003467)". The record is from RNAcentral. Lineage: Eukaryota; Viridiplantae; Streptophyta; Magnoliopsida; Solanales; Solanaceae.